AUUGAACGCUGGCGGAAUGCUUUACACAUGCAAGUCGAACGGCAGCACGGACUUCGGUCUGGUGGCGAGUGGCGAACGGGCGAGUAAUGUAUCGGAACGUGCCCAGUCGUGGGGGAUAACGUAGUGAAAAUUACGCUAAUACCGCAUACGAUCUAUGGAUGAAAGCGGGGGAUCGCAAGACCUCGCGCGAUUGGAGCGGCCGAUAUCAGAUUAGGUAGUUGGUGGGGUAAAGGCCCACCAAGCCAACGAUCUGUGGCUGGUCUGAGAGGACGACCAGCCACACUGGAACUGGGACACGGCCCAGACUCCUACGGGAGGCAGCAGUGGGGAAUUUUGGACAAUGGGCGAAAGCCUGAUCCGGCCAUUCCGCGUGCAGGAUGAAGGCCCUCGGGUUGUAAACUGCUUUUGUACAGAACGAAAAGGUUUCUACUAAUACUAGGAGCUCAUGACGGUACUGUAAGAAUAAGCACCGGCUAACUACGUGCCAGCCGCCGCCGUAA
This 500-nucleotide ribosomal RNA is filed under the name uncultured bacterium. Its description in RNAcentral is "partial 16S ribosomal RNA". It matches the Rfam family "Bacterial small subunit ribosomal RNA", at positions 30 to 523 of the family's 1533-position model. The record is from RNAcentral.